UACGUAGGGUGCAAGCGUUAAUCGGAAUUACUGGGCGUAAAGCGUGCGCAGGCGGUUUUGUAAGCCAGAUGUGAAAGCCCCGGGCUUAACCUGGGAAUGGCAUUUGGGACUGCAAGGCUUGAGUGCGGCAGAGGAGACUGGAAUUCCUGGUGUAGCAGUGAAAUGCGUAGAUAUCAGGAGGAAUACCGAUGGCGAAGGCAGGUCUCUAGGCUGACACUGACGCUCAUGCACGAAAGCGUGGGGAGCAAACAGG
This 253-nucleotide ribosomal RNA is filed under the name uncultured bacterium. RNAcentral describes it as "partial 16S ribosomal RNA". It matches the Rfam family "Bacterial small subunit ribosomal RNA", at positions 524 to 776 of the family's 1533-position model. The record is from RNAcentral.